RNAcentral lists this ribosomal RNA (914 nucleotides) under Aspergillus sp. RNAcentral describes it as "LSU rRNA". It matches the Rfam family "Eukaryotic large subunit ribosomal RNA", at positions 64 to 992 of the family's 3401-position model. Lineage: Eukaryota; Fungi; Ascomycota; Eurotiomycetes; Eurotiales; Aspergillaceae. The record is from RNAcentral.
ACAACCGGAGAUUGCCUCAGUAACGGCGAGUGAAGCGGCAAGAGCUCAAAUUUGAAAGCUGGCCCCUCCGGGGUCCGCGUUGUAAUUUGCAGAGGAUGCUUUGGGUGCGGCCCCCGUCUAAGUGCCCUGGAACGGGCCGUCAGAGAGGGUGAGAAUCCCGUCUUGGGCGGGGUGUCCGUGCCCGUGUAAAGCUCCUUCGACGAGUCGAGUUGUUUGGGAAUGCAGCUCUAAAUGGGUGGUAAAUUUCAUCUAAAGCUAAAUACUGGCCGGAGACCGAUAGCGCACAAGUAGAGUGAUCGAAAGAUGAAAAGCACUUUGAAAAGAGAGUUAAACAGCACGUGAAAUUGUUGAAAGGGAAGCGCUUGCGACCAGACUCGCCCUCGGGGUUCAGCCGGCACUCGUGCCGGUGUACUUCCCCGGGGGCGGGCCAGCGUCAGCUUGGGCGGCCGGUCAAAGGCCUCCGGAAUGUAGUGCCCCCCGGGGCACCUUAUAGCCGGAGGUGCAAUGCGGCCAGCCUGGGCUGAGGAACGCGCUUCGGCACGGACGCUGGCAUAAUGGUCGCAAACGACCCGUCUUGAAACACGGACCAAGGAGUCUAACAUCUACGCGAGUGUUCGGGUGUCAAACCCGUACGCGCAGUGAAAGCAAACGGAGGUGGGAGCCCCCUCGCGGGGCGCACCAUCGACCGAUCCUGAUGUCUUCGGAUGGAUUUGAGUAAGAGCGUAAAUGUGGGGACCCGAAAGAUGGUGAACUAUGCCUGAAUAGGGCGAAGCCAGAGGAAACUCUGGUGGAGGCUCGCAGCGGUUCUGACGUGCAAAUCGAUCGUCAAAUUUGGGUAUAGGGGCGAAAGACUAAUCGAACCAUCUAGUAGCUGGUUCCUGCCGAAUUUCCCCCUCAGGAAACCAACCUUCCAG